Molecule: non-coding RNA, 31 nt
Filed under: Homo sapiens (human)
Lineage: Eukaryota; Metazoa; Chordata; Mammalia; Primates; Hominidae
Source: RNAcentral
UAGGGCUGAGAUGGAGUGUUCCUUUCUUGAA